RNAcentral lists this RNase P RNA (462 nucleotides) under uncultured Anaerosacchariphilus sp. Its description in RNAcentral is "Bacterial RNase P class A". It matches the Rfam family "Bacterial RNase P class A". From Rfam's summary of the family: Ribonuclease P (RNase P) is a ubiquitous endoribonuclease, found in archaea, bacteria and eukarya as well as chloroplasts and mitochondria. Its best characterised activity is the generation of mature 5'-ends of tRNAs by cleaving the 5'-leader elements of precursor-tRNAs. Lineage: Bacteria; Bacillati; Bacillota; Clostridia; Lachnospirales; Lachnospiraceae. The record is from RNAcentral.
UCGCGGCUGGCAGGCCGAAAGGUGCCAGGUGAGGAAAGUCCGGGCUCCACAGGGCAGGACGCCGGAUAACGUCCGGCGGAGGCAACUUCAGGGACAGUGCAACAGAGAUAUACCGCGUUAGCAAUGAGCCGAGUAUACCCGGCAGGCAGAAAGCCUGAAUGAAAAAUUUACUUUUCGAACAGGCUUUGUGGCUGUCGGGUUGCGCUGCGAAUGCCGCGUAACCCGGGAUUGCGCAGCAAUCUCAGGUAGACUGGGCUCAUUGCUAACGUAAGGGUGGAAAGGCAGUGUAAGAGACUACCGUCCGUCUGGUAACAGGCGGAGCCAUGUAAACCCCGUUCGGAGCAAGACCGAAACGAGACUUAACCCGGCCCGGGUGUCUCAGGUGGGUCGCUUGAGCCUGUCGGCGACGGCAGGACUAGAUAGAUGAACAUCCAAUGACAUAACCCGGCUUAUCGCUUUGCC